UGAUGUGUAGGAUAGGUGGGAGGCUUUGAAGCGUGGACGCCAGUCUGCGUGGAGCCAACCUUGAAAUACCACCCUUUAAUGUUUGAUGUUCUAACGUUGGCCCCUUACCGGGGUUGCGGACAGUGUCUGGUGGGUAGUUUGACUGGGGCGGUCUCCUCCCAAAGCGUAACGGAGGAGCACGAAGGUUAGCUAAUCCUGGUCGGACAUCAGGAGGUUAGUGCAAUGGCAUAAGCUAGCUUGACUGCGAGCGUGACGGCGCGAGCAGGUGCGAAAGCAGGUCAUAGUGAUCCGGUGGUUCUGAAUGGAAGGGCCAUCGCUCAACGGAUAAAAGGUACUCCGGGGAUAACAGGCUGAUACCGCCCAAGAGUUCAUAUCGACGGCGGUGUUUGGCACCUCGAUGUCGGCUCAUCACAUCCUGGGGCUGAAGUAGGUCCCAAGGGUAUGGCUGUUCGCCAUUUAAAGUGGUACGCGAGCUGGGUUUAGAACGUCGUGAGACAGUUCGGUCCCUAUCUGCCGUGGGCGCUGGAGAAUUGAGGGGGGCUGCUCCUAGUACGAGAGGACCGGAGUGGACGCAUCACUGGUGUUCGGGUUGUCAUGCCAAUGGCACUGCCCGGUAGCUAAAUGCGGAAGAGAUAAGUGCUGAAAGCAUCUAAGCACGAAACUUGCCCCGAGAUGAGUUCUCCCUGAGACUU
This 692-nucleotide ribosomal RNA is filed under the name Klebsiella pneumoniae. RNAcentral's name for it is "partial 23S ribosomal RNA". It matches the Rfam family "Bacterial large subunit ribosomal RNA", at positions 2132 to 2823 of the family's 2925-position model. The record is from RNAcentral. Lineage: Bacteria; Pseudomonadati; Pseudomonadota; Gammaproteobacteria; Enterobacterales; Enterobacteriaceae.